Molecule: ribosomal RNA, 119 nt
Filed under: Pteropus alecto (black flying fox)
Lineage: Eukaryota; Metazoa; Chordata; Mammalia; Chiroptera; Pteropodidae
Source: RNAcentral
GUCUAAGGUCAUGCCACCUUGAACAUGCCCGAUCUCGUCUGAUUUCAGAAGAUAAUUAGGGUCGGACCUGGUUAGUACUUGGAUGGGAGACCACCUAGGAGUACCAGGUACUGUAGGCU